AGUGAACGCUGGCGGUAGGCCUAACACAUGCAAGUCGAACGGCAGCACAGUAAGAGCUUGCUCUUACGGGUGGCGAGUGGCGGACGGGUGAGGAAUACAUCGGAAUCUACUUUUUCGUGGGGGAUAACGUAGGGAAACUUACGCUAAUACCGCAUACGACCUACGGGUGAAAGCAGGGGAUCUUCGGACCUUGCGCGAUUGAAUGAGCCGAUGUCGGAUUAGCUAGUUGGCGGGGUAAAGGCCCACCAAGGCAACGAUCCGUAGCUGGUCUGAGAGGAUGAUCAGCCACACUGGAACUGAGACACGGUCCAGACUACUACGGGAGGCAGCAGUGGGGAAUAUUGGACAAAGGGCGCAAGCCUGAUCCAGCCAUACCGCGUGGGUGAAGAAGGCCUUCGGGUUGUAAAGCCCUUUUGUUGGGAAAGAAAAGCAGCAGGUUAAUACCCCGCUGUUCUGACGGUACCCAAAGAAUAAGCACCGGCUAACUUCGUG
This 492-nucleotide ribosomal RNA is filed under the name uncultured bacterium. RNAcentral describes it as "partial 16S ribosomal RNA". It matches the Rfam family "Bacterial small subunit ribosomal RNA", at positions 29 to 507 of the family's 1533-position model. The record is from RNAcentral.